UUAAUGUUUAUUUUUUUUUAUUGUAGUAUUAUAUAUAUAUAUAUAUAUAUAUAAAUUAAAAAAAGUAUUUUAUUUUUUAUUAAUUAAAUUGAAUAAAUUUGUAUAAUUAUAGUUUAAUAGUAUUGUGAAAGAAUAUUAAUUAUUAAUUAAAAGAAAAAUUAAAUUUUUGUACCUUGUGUAUCAGGGUUUAUUAAAUAAAAUUUAUUUAUUAUAAUUUUCUCGAAUUUAAAAGAGUUAAAAAUUUAUAAUUUUUAUUGUUGAAUAAAUAUUGUUGAUAAAUUUUUGGAAGUUAAAUGCUAUUCGAUUUUAAAUAUAUCUAGUUUUUUUAGAAAAAAAUUUAAUUUUAUUUUUAUUUAUUAUUGAGUUAUUUAUAUAAUUUUAUAAUAGUAGAAAUUAAUAUUUUAAGGGAUGAGCUUUAUUAUAAAUAAAUAAAACUUUAUUAAAUAAUUUUUGUCAGUAAGAUUUUAAGUUUCUAUCUUUAUUAAUGUAUUAUAACUAAUAGGUAUAUUUAUAUAAUUUUUAUUUAGGUUUAUUUAUUUUAUAAAAAUAUAAGUUAAAAUAAUUAAAAUUUAGUAAUAAUGAUAAAAUUAGUAUAAAUUUUAUGUUUAGAUUUAAUAAAUUUAAAAGGUUAAAUAAAGGAAUUAGGCAAAAAUAAUUUUUCACCUGUUUAUUAAAAACAUGUCCUUUUGAUUAUAAUUUAAGGUCUAACCUGCCCAAUGAUAAUUUUAAUGGCUGCAGUAUUUUAACUGUACUAAGGUAGCAUAAUCAAUAGUUUUUUAAUUGAAAGCUGGAAUGAAAGGUUGAAUGAAAAAAUUACUGUCUCUGUUUAAAUUUUUUAGAAUUUUAUUUUUAAGUUAAAAAGCUUAAAUGUUUAUAGAAGACGAGAAGACCCUAUAGAGUUUUAUAUAUAAUAGUUUUAAAAUAUUUUAGUAUUAAAUAUUUUAAUAUAAUUUUAUAUUUAAUUGGGGUGAUUUUAAAAUUUAAUGAACUUUUUUUAUAUAGAAUCAUUGAUUAAUGAAAAUGUGAUCCUUUUAUAAAGAUUAAUAGAAUAAAUUACCUUAGGGAUAACAGCGUAAUUUUUUUAUAGAGUUCAAAUCGAAAAAAAAGAUUGCGACCUCGAUGUUGGAUUAAAAUAAAUUAUUAGUGUAGAAGCUAAUAUAUUAGGUCUGUUCGACCUUUAAAAUUUUACAUGAUCUGAGUUUAAACCGGUGUGAGCCAGGUUGGUUUCUAUCUCUAUAAAUUAAUAUAUUUAUAUUUUAGUACGAAAGGACCGGAUAUA
RNAcentral lists this ribosomal RNA (1279 nucleotides) under Curculionidae sp. 6 AH-2016. Its description in RNAcentral is "16S ribosomal RNA". The stretch from base 1064 to 1222 matches the Rfam family "Archaeal large subunit ribosomal RNA", at positions 2542 to 2701 of the family's 2987-position model. The record is from RNAcentral. Lineage: Eukaryota; Metazoa; Arthropoda; Insecta; Coleoptera; Curculionidae.